Caretta caretta (loggerhead turtle) is the source of this 220-nucleotide non-coding RNA. NCBI's taxonomy places the organism in Eukaryota, Metazoa, Chordata, Testudines, Cheloniidae. The record is from RefSeq and is a predicted model, not a curated record.
UCCCACAGUCAAAGCACUUGUGGGGUCUCUCUUCUGUGUGGACUGCCCGAUGACGAACAAGGUGUGACUUUGUUAUGAAACUUUUCCCACAAUCCAAGCAUUUGUGGGGUCUCUCUCCUGUGUGGAUUGCCUGAUGUUGAACAAGGUGUGAUCUCUGUAUGAAACUUUUCCCACAGUCCAAGCACUUAUGGGGUCUUUCUCCUGUGUGGAUUGCCUGAUG